UACGGGAGGCAGCAGGGGGAAUAUUGCACAAUGGGCGCAAGCCUGAUGCAGCCAUGCCGCGUGUAUGAAGAAGGCCUUCGGGUUGUAAAGUACUUUCAGUCGUGAGGAAGGUGUUAAGGUUAAUAACCUUAGCAAUUGACGUUAGCGACAGAAGAAGCACCGGCUAACUCCGUGCCAGCAGCCGCGGUAAUACGGAGGGUGCGAGCGUUAAUCGGAAUUACUGGGCGUAAAGGGCACGCAGGCGGUUAAUUAAGUUGGAUGUGAAAUCCCCGGGCUUAACCUGGGAAUGGCAUUCAAGACUGGUUAGCUAGAGUCUUGUAGAGGGGGUAGAAUUCCAUGUGUAGCGGUGAAAUGCGUAGAGAUGUGGAGGAAUACCGGUGGCGAAGGCGGCCCCUGGACAAAGACUGACGCUCAUGUGCGAAAGCGUGGGGAGCAAACAGGGAUUAGAUACC
This 452-nucleotide ribosomal RNA is filed under the name uncultured bacterium. Its description in RNAcentral is "bacterial SSU rRNA". It matches the Rfam family "Bacterial small subunit ribosomal RNA", at positions 340 to 786 of the family's 1533-position model. The record is from RNAcentral.